AUAAGUUACUAAGGGCACAAGGUGGAUGCCUUGGCACUAGGAGGCGAUGAAGGACGUGACAGGCUGCGAUAUGCCUCGGGGAGGAGCCAAAUAUCCUUUGAUCCGGGGAUUUCCGAAUGGGGAAACCCACAUGAAGUCAUAUUCAUGUAACCCUUGGUUGAAUACAUAGGCCUUGGGUGGCGAACGGAGGGAAGUGAAACAUCUCAGUACCUCCAGGAGAAGAAAUCAAGAGAGAUUCCGGAAGUAGCGGCGAGCGAACCCGGAUAAGGCCAAACCGAAGAGUUUCGACUUUUCGGGGUUGUAGGGCUGAUAGAAUCGAUCCAUGACAAGAUAAGGGAACAGGUUGGGAAACCUGGCCGCAGAGAGUGAAAGCCUCGUACCGUAAAUCGAAAGUGGCGUAAUCAGUACCUGAGUACCGCGGGACACGAGAAACCCCGUGGGAAUCUGGGAGGACCAUCUUCCAAGCCUAAAUACUCCCUAGUGACCGAUAGCGAACCAGUACCGUGAGGGAAAGGUGAAAAGAACUCCUGUUAGGAGAGUGAAAUAGAACCUGAAACCAUGUGCCUACAAGCUGUGGGAGCGGACUUGAUCCGUGACCGCGUGCUUUUUGCAUAACGGGCCAGCGAGUUAUUCUUUACUGCGAGAUUAAGCUAUUAAGUGUAGUCGUAGCGAAAGCGAGUCUGAACAGGGCGUCAAGUAGUGGGGAAUAGACCCGAAGCCGGGUGAUCUAUCCAUGAGCAGGCUGAAGCUUGAGUAAAAUCAAGUGGAGGGCCGAACCAGUAUCGGUUGAAAACGAUUUGGAUGACUUGUGGAUAGGGGUGAAAGGCCAAUCAAACCCGGUGAUAGCUGGUUCUCGCCGAAAUAUAUUGAGGUAUAGCGUCAAGUUAGUUUUGCGGAGGUAGAGCACUGACAGGGCUAGGGGCCCCACCAGGUUACCAACCCCUUUCAAACUCCGAAUGCCGUAAAAUGAUGCUUGGCAGUCAGGCUAUGGGUGCGAAGGUCCAUGGCCGAAAGGGAAACAGCCCAGACCAACAGCUAAGGUCUCGAAAUCAAUGCUAAGUGGGAAAGGUGGUGGAGUUGCUGAUACAUCCAGGAGGUUGGCUUAGAAGCAGCCAUCCUUUAAAGAAAGCGUAAUAGCUCACUGGCCUAGCGAUUCUGCGCCGAAAAUGUAACGGGGCUAAGCAUUGUACCGAAGCUUUGGGUUCACAGUUUACUGUGAGCGGUAGGCGAGCGUUCUCAGAUGGGAAGAAGGUGAAGCCGUAAGGCCCGCUGGACUAAUGAGAAGUGAUCAUGCUGGCAUGAGUAACGAUAAAAUAAGUGAGAAACUUAUUCGCCGUAAACCUAAGGUUUCCUGGGUAAAGUUAAUCUUCCCAGGGUAAGUCGGCCCCUAAGACCAGGCUGAAAAGCGUCGUCGAUGGGAAACAGGUUAAUAUUCCUGUACAUGUAUAUGUGUGCGAUGGAGGGACGCAGAAGGAUAGGUGAUCCGGGUGUUGGAUAUCCCGGUGCAAGCUAGUAGGCUUGAGGAGCAGGCAAAUCCGCUCCUCUUCAAGGCCGAGAAGUGAUGCCGUAUCUUUAUCGAUAGAAGUCAUUGAUUCCAUACUGCCAAGAAAAGCUUCUAAGUUUAGCAUAUGCAUACCGUACCGCAAACCAACACAGGUAGGUGGGUCGAGCAGACCAAGGCGCUUGAGAGAACUCUGGUUAAGGAACUCGGCAAAAUGACCCCGUAAGUUCGCGAGAAGGGGUCCUCGAAGUUGUGAGAUUAUUUACUUUUUGAGCAGCUUUGAGGCACAGAGAAUCGGGGGGGGCGACUGUUUACUAAAAACAUAGGUCUCUGCUAAGUCGUAAGACGAUGUAUAGGGACUGACGCCUGCCCGGUGCUGGAAGGUUAAGAGGUGGGGUUAGACUUCGGUCGAAGCCCUGAAUCGAAGCCCCAGUAAACGGCGGCCGUAACUAUAACGGUCCUAAGGUAGCGAAAUUCCUUGUCGGGUAAGUUCCGACCUGCACGAAUGGCGUAACGAUCUCCCCACUGUCUUGUGCACCUUUACUGCAACUUGACAUUGGUAUUUGAUUAUUCAUGUGUAGGAUAGGUGGGAGACUUUGAAGCAUGCUCGCCAGAGUGUGUGGAGUCAUCCUUGAAAUACCACCCUUGAAUACUUGGAUAUCUAAUCCAAAGCCGUUAUCCGGCUUGGAGACAGUGUCUGGUGGGUAGUUUGACUGGGGCGGUCGCCUCCCAAAGAGUAACGGAGGCUUGCAACGGUUCCCUCAGGCUGAUUGGAAACCAGCCGUUGAGUGCAAAGGCAUAAGGGAGCUUGACUGUGAGACAGACAUGUCGAGCAGGAACGAAAGUUGGUCUUAGUGAUCCGGUGGUUCCGCAUGGAAGGGCCAUCGCUCAUAGGAUAAAAGGUACGCCGGGGAUAACAGGCUGAUCGCGUCCAAGAGUUCACAUCGACGACGCGGUUUGGCACCUCGAUGUCGGCUCAUCACAUCCUGGGGCUGAAGCAGGUCCCAAGGGUACGGCUGUUCGCCGUUUAAAGUGGUACGCGAGCUGGGUUGAGACAGUUUGGUCCCUAUCCUCCGUGGGCGUAGGAGAAUUGAAGAGGGUCUGCCCCUAGUACGAGAGGACCGGGGUGGACGAACCUAUGGUGUUUCUGUUGUCGCGCCAGCGGCAUUGCAGAGUAGCUAAGUUCGGUACGGAUAACCGCUGAAAGCAUCUAAGCGGGAAGCCCGCCUCAAGAUAAAUUCUCCCCGGACUUCGGUCCCUGAAGAUCCCUUGAAGACGACAAGGUUGAUAGGCUGGAAGUGUACGCAGUGUGAGCUGUUCAGCUGACCAGUACUAAUAGAUCGUGCGACUUAUUUUA
Molecule: ribosomal RNA, 2858 nt
Filed under: oral metagenome
Description: bacterial LSU rRNA
Rfam family: Bacterial large subunit ribosomal RNA
Source: RNAcentral